Molecule: ribosomal RNA, 449 nt
Filed under: uncultured bacterium
Lineage: Bacteria
Description: bacterial SSU rRNA
Rfam family: Bacterial small subunit ribosomal RNA
Source: RNAcentral
ACUCCUACGGGAGGCAGCAUUGGGGAAUCUUGGACAAUGGGCGCAAGCCUGAUCCAGCCAUGCCGCGUGAGUGAUGAAGGCCCUAGGGUCGUAAAGCUCUUUCGCCAGGGAUGAUAAUGACAGUACCUGGUAAACGAAACCCCGGCUAACUCCGUGCCAGCAGCCGCGGUAAUACGGAGGGGUUAGCGUUGUUCGGAAUUACUGGGCGUAAAGCGCGCGUAGGCGGAUUAGUCAGUUAGAGGUGAAAUCCCAGGGCUCAACCCUGGAACUGCCUUUAAUACUGCUAGUCUUGAGUUCGAGAGAGGUGAGUGGAAUUCCGAGUGUAGAGGUGAAAUUCGUAGAUAUUCGGAGGAACACCAGUGGCGAAGGCGGCUCACUGGCUCGAUACUGACGCUGAGGUGCGAAAGUGUGGGGAGCAAACAGGAUUAGAUACCCGUGGUAGCGACUGA